AUUGAACGCUGGCGGCAUGCCUUACACAUGCAAGUCGAACGGUAACGGGCCUUCGGGUGCCGACGAGUGGCGAACGGGUGAGUAAUACAUCGGAACGUGCCCGAUCGUGGGGGAUAACGAGGCGAAAGCUUUGCUAAUACCGCAUACGAUCUACGGAUGAAAGCAGGGGACCGCAAGGCCUUGCGCGGACGGAGCGGCCGAUGGCAGAUUAGGUAGUUGGUGGGAUAAAAGCUUACCAAGCCGACGAUCUGUAGCUGGUCUGAGAGGAUGAUCAGCCACACUGGGACUGAGACACGGCCCAGACUCCUACGGGAGGCAGUAGUGGGGAAUUUUGGACAAUGGGCGCAAGCCUGAUCCAGCCAUGCCGCGUGCAGGAUGAAGGCCUUCGGGUUGUAAACUGCUUUUGUACGGAACGAAAAGUCUUCUUUUAAUACAGGAGGGUCAUGACGGUACCGUAAGAAUAAGCACCGGCUAACUACGUG
Molecule: ribosomal RNA, 482 nt
Filed under: uncultured bacterium
Lineage: Bacteria
Description: partial 16S ribosomal RNA
Rfam family: Bacterial small subunit ribosomal RNA
Source: RNAcentral